GCGCACCAGGCGCGUAAACUUCGCAAUGCGCGAAAGCGCGACGAGGGGAUUCCAAGUGCAUGCACUAAGUGUAUGCUUUUCGUGAGUUUAAAACGCUCACGGAAUAAGGGCUGGGUAAGACUGGUGCCAGCCGCCGCGGUAAUACCAGCGGCCCUAGUGGUGAUCGUUAUUAUUGGGCCUAAAGCGUCCGUAGCCGGUCCGGUAAAUCUCUGGGUAAAUCGUUGGGCUUAACUCAGCGAAUUCUGGGGAGACUGCUGGACUUGGGACCGGGAGAGGUCGGAGGUACUCCAGGGGUAGGGGUGAAAUCCUGUAAUCCUUGGGGGACCACCGGUGGCGAAGGCGUCCGACCAGAACGGGUCCGACGGUAAGGGACGAAGCCCUGGGGCGCGAACCGGAUUAGAUACCCGUGUAGU
This 413-nucleotide ribosomal RNA is filed under the name uncultured microorganism. Its description in RNAcentral is "bacterial SSU rRNA". It matches the Rfam family "Archaeal small subunit ribosomal RNA", at positions 330 to 745 of the family's 1478-position model. The record is from RNAcentral.